CGGGGCAUGGCGCAGUUUGGUAGCGCACUCGCUUUGGGAGCGAGGGGUCGCAGGUUCAAAUCCUGUUGCCCCGAC
RNAcentral lists this transfer RNA (75 nucleotides) under Corynebacterium urealyticum. RNAcentral's name for it is "tRNA-Pro(tgg)". It matches the Rfam family "tRNA". Rfam says of the family: Transfer RNA (tRNA) molecules are approximately 80 nucleotides in length. The record is from RNAcentral. Lineage: Bacteria; Bacillati; Actinomycetota; Actinomycetes; Mycobacteriales; Corynebacteriaceae.